Molecule: ribosomal RNA, 517 nt
Filed under: Aspergillus sp. A-4-2
Lineage: Eukaryota; Fungi; Ascomycota; Eurotiomycetes; Eurotiales; Aspergillaceae
Description: eukaryotic LSU rRNA
Rfam family: 5.8S ribosomal RNA (bases 135-288)
Source: RNAcentral
CGCCCAACCUCCCACCCGUGACUACCUAACACUGUUGCUUCGGCGGGGAGCCCUCUCGGGGGCGAGCCGCCGGGGACUACUGAACUUCAUGCCUGAGAGUGAUGCAGUCUGAGUCUGAAUAUAAAAUCAGUCAAAACUUUCAACAAUGGAUCUCUUGGUUCCGGCAUCGAUGAAGAACGCAGCGAACUGCGAUAAGUAAUGUGAAUUGCAGAAUUCAGUGAAUCAUCGAGUCUUUGAACGCACAUUGCGCCCCCUGGCAUUCCGGGGGGCAUGCCUGUCCGAGCGUCAUUGCUGCCCAUCAAGCCCGGCUUGUGUGUUGGGUCGUCGUCCCCCCCGGGGGACGGGCCCGAAAGGCAGCGGCGGCACCGUGUCCGGUCCUCGAGCGUAUGGGGCUUUGUCACCCGCUCGAUUAGGGCCGGCCGGGCGCCAGCCGACGUCUCCAACCAUUUUCUUCAGGUUGACCUCGGAUCAGGUAGGGAUACCCGCUGAACUUAAGCAUAUCAAUAAGCGGAGGAAA